AUCAAUGAGUCACUCUGGGAGGCUGCCCUGGUCCUGGUGUACUGUUGGCUUUUUCACUCUUUUUUCUAACAUUAUACUCCAGUGGUUUUAUUACAACUCCUGUCAUUGUAUGACGUAAUGAGGUGGGAGAUAUUUUCAAAAGGUCACCACCAGAGAUGAUUGCAGUGCAUCCCUGAAAGUAUAUUCUCCUCUAACAAAAGGCUAAUCCACUGAGAUACAUUAGUUCAACAUAGACAAACAUGGAUUGAGAAACUGGGCAAUGUGUCUUUUGUCCAACUUGUCCUGAAUCAUACACCGUCUGUGGGACCAGAAUGUAAAACAGUCAAAAAUUGAUCAUACAUGAUAUCAGUUAUUACUUGUGUAAUAAAUGGGAAAUCAGUAUUCCAUUGGCCAAAUUCAUGCAUUGCUAGAAAUCCUUGUAAUUCAGUAGAAGAUAACGCAUCUACUAAGCAGCAUGUUAGAAGGAGUUUAUCAUGUGUGUUCAGGCACCAUACAUGCCUUGAUGCUUCAUAACUGAGAAUCGCCAAACAGUAAUAAAUGGAAACAAAAGAAUAACAUAAAGACCCGGCAAACAAUGAUGGAGCUCUGAAAGAGUAACAAACUAAAAACGUCAUAUUGCAAUUUAAAAUAAAAUAAAUAAAUAAAACACUUUUAAAAUGAAA
This is a long non-coding RNA of Pseudophryne corroboree (corroboree frog), 662 nucleotides long. RefSeq lists it as uncharacterized. The record is from RefSeq and is a predicted model, not a curated record. The transcript is spliced from 5 exons. NCBI's taxonomy places the organism in Eukaryota, Metazoa, Chordata, Amphibia, Anura, Myobatrachidae.